CUGCAUGAUGCUACUCUUCUCUUCUCCCUCGUCUAUAAAUUCAUCUGCUUAGUAGUUAGCACCACCAUCUCAUCAUCAGUUCACCCACAAGCCAAGCACUACAACACCUAGCUGAAUAUACAACCUGACACAAAAGUUUCUCUGAACUUUCAGCCAAGAAAUUCAGAAGGAGAAGCAACCAUGGUUAGUGCGAAGAGGCUUGCUCAAAUGGCAAAGAAGUGGCAGAGAAUGGCAGCCAUGGGGAGGAAGAGGCUCAAGCGGACGACAUCGACAAGAGCAGCCGACGAGUGCUGCACGACGUCAUCGGUGGCGGUAAAGGGCCACUGCGUCGUGUACACCGCCGACAGGGGUCGGUUUGAGGUGCCGUUACAGUACCUCGGCACGGCCGUCUUUAGUGAGCUCCUGAGGAUGUCUCAGGAGGAAUUUGGUUUCGCAGGCGGCGAUGAUGGCCGGAUCACGCUGCCCUGCGACGCCGCUGUCAUGGAGUACGCCAUGUGCUUGCUCGGGAAAGAUGCCUCCGCGGAAGUCGUGAAGGCCUUCCUGAGCUCCGUCGCGACGCCCUGCUGGUUUGACGGCGGUGUGGUGGCGCCAUGCGUAGGGUUUAACCAGCAUGUAGCCGUUUGCUAGCUUCAGAAGAAUGGCAGCUGCUACUGCUAGGAUCCUUGUUGUAGCCACCGUUUUGGUUCGACGCAAAGUGUAAAUAUGAAGUACUAGUUGGUUAGAAAUGGAACAGUUUUUUAACCGUUGAGGUAUAAAUGAAGGAACCUUCUUUCUCUGUCAGCUUAGCCUUUAUUGGGUGAAUUGGUUCAACCUCAAGGAAAACCACAUGAUCUGGCACCUUCCGCUACAUCGACACGAAGUACCAUAAACGGGGAUGCUCGGCAUGUCAUGCUGCUUCUCAUCACGACCAAGCCACCAAUCACCAAUGGCGCCGUCUUGUCUCCGGAUAGGACUUGCUUAGAGAUUUUUUUUUCCUUAUUUUUAUGUAAUAAAGUGGCACAUUUGGUACUUUGUGACUGUGUGAGUCCCGUGCGCACAAGUGGGGGGUUGAUGCCCUGUUGGUUAACUCGGUUGUAUCGCUUGAUAUAUAAUGUUGAGAUCAAUCUAUAAUCUUCUAUUUUCGAAAAAAUAAAUGAAAUGAGCAGCUCUAUUGGACCAAAUUUCUCGGUUAGAACCUGAGAUGCAGCGUAUUUUGUUUGUGAACAUAAGGCUAACAAUUUUUAACGAUAUGCAAAUUGUUCUAACCGUUCUUGCAAAUUCAAGCCUUUUUUUUCAUAUGGUCAGAAGACCGUAUUCUACUACUGUCAUGAAGAUAACGGAACAAAGUACUGAACCCAAGUUUCAACCCCGCACGGAAGUUUUUCACAUACCUGCCGCAUAUCGCUAACAAGAACACAAGCCAACUACCAAAAUAUUGUACUUCCUCCGUCCAACAAAGAUGUCUCAAUUUUGACUAAAUUUGAAUGCAUCUAUACACUAAGUCAUGUCUAGAUACAUUCAAAUUUUGACAAACUUGAGACAUUUUUUGUUGGACGGAAGCAGUACAUGUAAUGGAACUGGAGAUGCCCGAUUAACAUAUGGCCCACAUGCUGAUUCAGAGGGGAACUUGCCAGUAUGUCAAUGCAUGCACCCUUGGAUGUGAAACCAAUGAAGUAAGCAAAGCACUGGAACCUAGCAACUACUAGAUCAGGCAAUUAGCCCCAUCAAAAACAUGGUCAGAGGUUUCUCAAAAAAAAAAAAACAUGGUCAGAGAAAGUUUAAGCAUUGCAUUUGCACCUGCUCAUGGAUUUGCCCCUUCCUUCCCAGCUUGCCGCACUGACAAGUGCAUGCACUUCACCCAGCCUUUCCCCCAUCUUGCUUUUCCAUCGCCUAUAAAUUAAGGCACUGAAACAGAUCAAUUGCACUAUGACCAUCACUACCAAAAAACCAAUCAUCACUUUCUAAUUAUGCCAAGCAGAUUUGUAUGUUUCCAAACUGAAAGAACUCAAUGCGAGAUUAAAGGACAUGCAUGUACCAAAAUAUGAUCUCUAAAUAUAUGCAGGUUCAGAACUAAAAGUGCUGCGGAAAGCUGGACAACUCAAUGCUGAACAUGUAUGUCCAGAAGGAAUUAAUACAUGUGGCCUAGCAUUCUUAGAGAGUUUUCCAUUCUUGAGUUAUUCUUAUGUUUGCAUAAAUAGAUAUUUCUAAGAAACCAUACUAUAACUGGAAACAUCGCAUUUCAAAUAUAAUACAUGCAUGUAUUGAAACCAAACAGUCAACAGAAAGCCCAUCAGAGACAUCUGUUUCAGCUUGGCAACGUGAUAAAACCACUUUCAGAUGAAACAAACGUCGCUUUGCAAUCACUUUGGUGCUUACUCCUGUACCCAAAAUAAAUAAAAUGCAAGGAGCAAGCCCAUGUGAUAUGCCGGAAAUCAAGCAGGUCUAGUUUCAUCUGAAAGUGUACAGAGAAUAGAUAUAUUAGGGGCAUGAACAAUGCAUAUCACAAUGUGAGGAAUCCAUCAGGAGAAGCAAAUAGGUAGCGUAACUGAUCAGUGCUCACCGAAAUUGUUCAGUCCCUGAACCUGGAUGCCAUCGCUGUCUCCUUGCAAUUGCCGAUAGCCAUGAUCUCGGCACGCCUCUUGUUCUCAACGCGUUCAGUAUGGCAGCCACACAUGAUAAGAA
RNAcentral lists this long non-coding RNA (2661 nucleotides) under Brachypodium distachyon (stiff brome). RNAcentral describes it as "long non-coding RNA (BDIS_LNC005255)". The stretch from base 1414 to 1548 matches the Rfam family "MIR1120/MIR1122 microRNA precursor family". The record is from RNAcentral. Lineage: Eukaryota; Viridiplantae; Streptophyta; Magnoliopsida; Poales; Poaceae.